UAGAGAGAGAGGAAGAGAUCAACUGUCGGUUGUCGGCGGUUUGCGCUUCGGUGGCGGCUCAGGCUUUGGUUCGGGUUUGGGUUCUGGUUUAGGCAUCGGUUCAGGCUUGGGCUCGGGUUUUGGUUCAGGUUUAGGCAUGGGCUUAGGCAUGGGCUCAGGCUUUGGUUCUGGUUUAGGCAUUGGCUUAGGCUUGGGUUCGGGUUUUGGCUCUGGUUUGGGCAUUGGCUCAGGCUUGGGUUCUGGUUUAGGCAUGGGCUCAGGCUUUGGUUCCGGUUUAAUUGGCUCAGGCUUCGGUUCCGGCUUAGGCAUUGGCUCGGGCUUGGGCUCAGGUUUUGGCUCAGGUUUAGGCAUUGGCUCGGGUUUGGGCUCAGGUUUAGGCUCAGGUUUAGGCACUGGCUCAGGCUUAGGCUCGGGUUUAGGCUCAGGUUUAGGCACUGGCUUAGGCAUGGGCUCGGGUUUUGGUUCCGGUUUAGGCAUUGGCUCAGGUUUGGGCUCGGGUUUAGGCUCGGGUUUAGGCAUUGGCUUAGGCAUGGGCUCGGGUUUUGGUUCCGGUUUGGGCAUGGGCUCUGGUUUUGGCUCGGGUUUUGGCAUUGGCUUAGGCAUGGGCUCUGGUUUUGGUUCCGGUUUAGGCAUCGGCUCAGGUUUCGGCUCUGGUUUAGGCAUUGGUUUGGGCAUUGGUUCCGGCUUGGGCUCUGGCUUCGGCUCGGGCUUGGGCAUGGGUUCAGGUUUGGGCUCAGGUUUCGGUCCCGGUUUGGGCAUUGGUUCUGGCUUCGGCUCAGGUUUCGGUUCAGGUUUAGGCAUGGGUUCAGGUUUCGGUUCAGGUUUUGGCUCUGGUUUUGGCAUGGGCUUGGGCUCCGGUUUUGGCAUGGGUUUUGGUUCCGGCUUUGGCUCUGGCUGCGGCAUAGGCUUAGGCUCCGGCUCGACGCCGGCAAGGCCUCGGCCAGCAGCGGCCGCUUGUUGGAAGGCGGACGCUGCAACCACCGCGACAAGGAGCGCGGCAAGAAGGCCGCCGCCCCCGGCAGAGAGGCGAUGCCUCGCCAUUGCUGCCUUUUUCUUGCGCUCGCAGUGCGAACUGUGCACUUGCGCUUCUCUGCUACCUCUG
RNAcentral lists this long non-coding RNA (1102 nucleotides) under Brachypodium distachyon (stiff brome). RNAcentral's name for it is "long non-coding RNA (BDIS_LNC001046)". The record is from RNAcentral. Lineage: Eukaryota; Viridiplantae; Streptophyta; Magnoliopsida; Poales; Poaceae.